RNAcentral lists this small RNA (28 nucleotides) under Bombyx mori (domestic silkworm). RNAcentral's name for it is "ovarian small RNA-17860". The record is from RNAcentral. Lineage: Eukaryota; Metazoa; Arthropoda; Insecta; Lepidoptera; Bombycidae.
GUGCACAAGACUGUUUUGGAGACGAUGC